RNAcentral lists this ribosomal RNA (442 nucleotides) under uncultured bacterium. RNAcentral describes it as "partial 16S ribosomal RNA". It matches the Rfam family "Bacterial small subunit ribosomal RNA", at positions 338 to 795 of the family's 1533-position model. The record is from RNAcentral.
CCUACGGGAGGCUGCAGUGGGGAAUAUUGGGCAAUGGGCGCAAGCCUGACCCAGCAACGCCGCGUGAAGGAAGAAGGCUUUCGGGUUGUACACUUCUUUUAAGAGGGAAGAGCCGAAGACGGUACCUCUUGAAUAAGCCACGGCUAACUACGUGCCAGCAGCCGCGGUAAUACGUAAGUGGCAAGCGUUGUCCUGAUUUACUGGGGGUACAGGGCGUGUAGCCGGGCUUACAAGUCAGUUGUGAAAUUCCGGGGCUCAACCCCGGACCUGCCUUUGAAACUGUUGGUCUUGAGUAUCGGAGAGGCAGGCGGAAUUCCUAGUGUAGCGGUGAAAUGCGUAGAUAUUAGGAGGAACACCAGUGGCGAAGGCGGCCUGCUGGACGACAACUGACGGUGAGGCGCGAAAGCGUGGGGAGCAAACAGGAUUAGAUACCCCUGUAGUC